UCCUUGCGUGUCACUGUUCUUUUUUCAUUAGGACACAUUAGUAAUUUUAUGCCUACACAUCAUUCAGCUCUCAACAAACGACCUCACCGGAGCCAAACCUCCUCUUUCCCUAUUCUCCUCGAGAAACCAGAUCUGCAAAAUUCAAACGUUCAAUUCCAAGAAAAAAAGCCCUAAUUUUCGAAUAUCUCAGAUCGAUUCGUCUUCGAAUCGACUGUUUAAGCGAUGGGCGAUUUCAAUCUCGCUCUAAUUAUUGUCGCUAUAGUGGUGUGCAUUAUUGUUUUUAUCUUUAAUGUGUACCUUCUUGUCAAUUACCAACAUCCAGAUGACAAGAACCAGGCCUAUUUCCCCAAAUUCGUCGUUGUUUUGGGUCUAUCUGUCGCCCUCAUUUCAAUAUUGAUGUUACCGGCAGACGUCGCUAACCGGCAGGCCUGUCGCCGCGCGAUAUACAAUGGCGCAUGUAAUCUCACUUUACCAAUGAAAGAUCUAUGGAUCGCUGUCUAUAUUAUCGAUGCUUUGCUUGUGUUUUUUGUUAUCCCCUUCGCGAUGUUCUAUUAUGAAGGCGACCAGGACAAGACUAUUGGCCAAAGGAUGAAAAGCUCGUUAUUGUGGGUGAUAACGACGGCAAUUGUUUGCGGUCUUUUACUUGGCAUUCUAUAUGGGCUAGUUGGAAAGGUGGACUUCACUGUCAUGCACCUCUCUUCAACCACUACCAACUUUCCUAGUAGUUGGGACUUCUCUAGCAAUCAGCCAUGCAUUGGAAGUGGCGUGCACCAGUGCUCUGCAUAUCUUGCAAGUCCUUCCUCAGAGAAAACAUGGACUAUGCGCACCACCUUUCCUGAAUAUGUUGUUGCGCUGGCUACAAUUGUUGGAUCUGUACUUUUUUCGAUAUUUGGAGGUGUUGGUAUUGCUUGUUUGCCACUGGGACUUAUAUUUUCUUUCAUCCGGCGUCCAAAGGCUGUCAUAACCCGCUCACAGUAUAUUAAGGAAGCAACUGAACUUGGCAAAAAAGCAAAAGAAUUGAAGAAAGCAGCUGAUGCACUCCAUCAAGAAGAAAGAAGUGGUUCUAAGGGUAGAAAAUGGCGUAAAAAUGUCAAGGCUGUAGAGAAGGAGUUGCUCCAGUUAGAAGAAGAUGUCAACUUGUUAGAGGAGAUGUAUCCUCAAGGAGAAAAGGCUGAGACAGCUUGGGCUUUGACUGUUCUUGGGUACCUGGCAAAACUUGUGUUGGGGAUCUUAGGGUUGAUUGUUUCAGUUGCUUGGGUGGCUCAUAUUGUUAUAUAUCUACUAAUUGAUCCACCUCUUUCUCCUUUUCUGAAUGAGGUUUUCAUCAAGUUGGAUGAUAUAUGGGGUCUUCUGGGUACUGUGGCAUUUGCAUUCUUCUGCUUCUACCUUCUGCUUGCAGUGAUAGCAGGGGCAAUGAUGCUGGGCCUGAGAUUAGUUUUCAUCACAAUUCAUCCCAUGAAGUGGGGAGCCACUCUAAUGAACUCCUUCCUUUUCAAUGUUGCACUCAUUCUUCUUUGCUCUAUUAGUGUGAUUCAGUUCUGCGCUACAGCAUUUGGCUACUAUGCUCAAGCAACUGCUGCACAGGAGAUUUUUGGCCACACAUUACAGUCUCUUCGGGGAAUUAAAUAUUUGUACAAGUAUAAUGUUUUCCAAAUCGCGUUUAUUGUUUUAGCGGGUUUGACUUUCGUGUAUUAUGCUGCCUUCGGAUGGAGAAGAAAAAAGCCAAGUGGCAGAUUCCAACUUUCUUCCUAAAGCACGUUUUUGACCUGAAGUGCAUGCACCCAUCCACUUGGAUUCCUCGAGUUUUUCUGUUGUAUCAUACCAUGGGGAGUGUUGUUUCAAAUCUGGAUGCAUAUAUAUGGCCUAGUUUUGUUUACAUUGAAAGGGUAGAGAGAUUGGCCGAGAUCAUCUGAGUAAAAUUGGGCGGCUACAGUGCGAGUGGCAUGUGCUGAUUACAGGCAAUGCAUCCUCUAAUGCCUUUCAGAUUACAGGUCUCAGGAAGCGAAUAAAUGGGUUGGGUUGUCGUACCUGAAAUAUGCUGCAGAGUGGGAUUCACUUUGUGUAUUAUCCACAAUUAAUCAUUGGAGAUUCAAUCUUUAUUUUUUUCUUAAAAAAAAAAAAAGAAGUGUUUGGAUCAACGGAAUGUGAAAUUCUUUAUAAAAGGAACUUGUUUCUAAAAUGAAUAUUGUUUCUGUUUGAUAUCUUGUAUGUUAAUUGUGGAAUUCAUUUUAAAUUUUUAGAGAUUUCACCUAUAAAAAAUAAUAAAGCUAUUUUGGUAGAAUUGGGCUCAA
RNA transcript from Manihot esculenta (cassava), 2291 nucleotides. It is a transcript of the gene named LIMR family protein At5g01460, with no coding region annotated. The record is from RefSeq and is a predicted model, not a curated record. Lineage: Eukaryota; Viridiplantae; Streptophyta; Magnoliopsida; Malpighiales; Euphorbiaceae. The transcript is spliced from 15 exons.